GGAGGGUGCGAGCGUUAAUCGGAAUUACUGGGCGUAAAGCGCGCGUAGGCGGCUUGAUAAGCCGGUUGUGGAAGCCCCGGGCUCAACCUGGGAACGGCAUCCGGAACUGUCAGGCUAGAGUGCAGGAGAGGAAGGUAGAAUUCCCGGUGUAGCGGUGAAAUGCGUAGAGAUCGGGAGGAAUACCAGUGGCGAAGGCGGCCUUCUGGACUGACACUGACGCUGAGGUGCGAAAGCGUGGGUAGCAAACAGGAUUAGAUACCCUGGUAGUCCACGCCGUAAACGAUGUCUACUAGCCGUUGGGCUCCUUGAGAGCUUUGUGGCGCAAUUAACGCGAUAAGUCGACCGCCUGGGGAGUACGGCCGCAAGGUUAAAACUCAAAUGAAUUGACGGGGGCCCGCACAAGCGGUGGAGCAUGUGGUUUAAUUCGAUGCAACGCGAAGAACCUUACCUACCCUUGACAUCGAGAGAACUUUCCAGAGAUGGAUUGGUGCCUUCGGGAACUCUCAGACAGGUGCUGCAUGGGUGUCGUCAGCUCGUGUUGUGAAAUGUUGGGUUAAGUCC
Molecule: ribosomal RNA, 561 nt
Filed under: uncultured Gammaproteobacteria bacterium
Lineage: Bacteria; Pseudomonadati; Pseudomonadota; Gammaproteobacteria
Description: bacterial SSU rRNA
Rfam family: Bacterial small subunit ribosomal RNA
Source: RNAcentral